AAAGACUUGACGGUACUUCACAACAACCUAGAGGAGCCUGUCCAAUAACCGAUACCCCACGAUUAACCCAACCCACCCUAGCCAAACAGUCUAUAUACCGCCGUCGCCAGCUUACCUUGUGAAAGAACUAAAGUAAGCAAAAUAAACCACCAUUAAUACGACAGGUCGAGGUGUAACUAAUGGGUGGGUGAAAGAUGGGCUACACUUUCUACUACAGAAAAUACGAACAAACUAUGAAACUAGAAACUGAAGGCGGAUUUAGCAGUAUGAUAAGAAUAGAAUACUUAACUGAAACCAACGCAAUGAAGUGCGCACACACCGCCCGUCAUCCCUG
Molecule: ribosomal RNA, 334 nt
Filed under: Mesotes rutilus
Lineage: Eukaryota; Metazoa; Chordata; Lepidosauria; Squamata; Colubridae
Description: partial 12S ribosomal RNA
Source: RNAcentral